This 714-nucleotide long non-coding RNA is filed under the name Setaria viridis. RNAcentral describes it as "long non-coding RNA (SVIR_LNC006130)". The record is from RNAcentral. Lineage: Eukaryota; Viridiplantae; Streptophyta; Magnoliopsida; Poales; Poaceae.
CACAAGAACAAGAAGGAAUAGUAACCUCUCUCUUUGCAGUGCUUGAUACACUAGGAGGAGAGUUCCAAGCUAAGAACCUGAAGGAAAGUGAGCAGAAGGGGGAGACCUAAACUGGGGCAAAAACUUGGCACCAACAGGCACCAAAUUAAAGAGAAAACAAAAACUCUUCACUUUGCACAAUCGCUAUGUCAAGCGCCACAGGAUGCAUAUCCUCAGAUAGCUGCCGCUGCCGCUGCAACUGCAAGCACUGCUCCAGUGCUCCUGCUUUGCUUAUCUCCCAAAGCUGCGCUCCCUGUUCUUGGCGCCCGGCGCAACAAGGCUGCCAAAAAGGGUCCUGGCGAUCUGCAGCUUGAGCUGCCCCCGCUUGAGCGGCGGCCUCUUCUCCUUGUUGCUGCCGCAGCCGUUGUAGGGGUACCCGUACUCCAUUGCUAGCUUCUCCUCUCCUCUUCCUCUCUAGCUCGUGAGCUUCUUCUAGCUCCUGGUGCCCUGCGCUGCUGCUGGUGGAGAAGGCGAGAGCUGGAUGGAUGCCUUGGCCUGGUGCAGGGCACCGUGCAUUUUUAUAGCUGGAGUUUUCAGACAUGUUGCGUUGGGAUGUGGGAACGCGCGUUCUUCCUUGUUUACUCCAGCCGCUGGGGUCCGGGAAAAAAGUUAACUUUGUUUUCAGUCAUGUUCUCUGUUGCGAGUGGGAGCAGCGUCACUCUCACAGCAAUGUUC